Molecule: transfer RNA, 93 nt
Filed under: Streptomyces mashuensis
Lineage: Bacteria; Bacillati; Actinomycetota; Actinomycetes; Kitasatosporales; Streptomycetaceae
Description: tRNA-Leu
Source: RNAcentral
GCGCUGCUUGGUGCAGUGGGCGAGCACCUGGCCGAUGAGUGCGGCACCGGCCGGCAGGGCCGGCUGGGGAGGGGUCGCGCUCUGCGUGGCGGC